CCUACGGGUGGCAGCAGUGGGGAAUAUUGGGCAAUGGGCGCAAGCCUGACCCAGCAACGCCGCGUGAAGGAAGAAGGCCCUCGGGUUGUAAACUUCUUUUAUCAAGGACGAAACAAAUGACGGUACUUGAUGAAUAAGCCACGGCUAACUACGUGCCAGCAGCCGCGGUAAUACGUAGGUGGCAAGCGUUGUCCGGAUUUAUUGGGCGUAAAGCGAGUGCAGGCGGUUCAAUAAGUCUGAUGUGAAAGCCUUCGGCUCAACCGGAGAAUUGCAUCAGAAACUGUUGAACUUGAGUGCAGAAGAGGAGAGUGGAACUCCAGGUGUAGCGGUGGAAUGCGUAGAUAUAUGGAAGAACACCGAUUGCGAAGGCAGCUUACUAAACUGUGACUGACAUUGAUGCUCGAAAGUGUGGGUAUCAAACAGGAUUAGAUACCCGAGUAGUC
RNAcentral lists this ribosomal RNA (443 nucleotides) under uncultured bacterium. RNAcentral's name for it is "partial 16S ribosomal RNA". It matches the Rfam family "Bacterial small subunit ribosomal RNA", at positions 338 to 795 of the family's 1533-position model. The record is from RNAcentral.